RNAcentral lists this long non-coding RNA (1496 nucleotides) under Marmota monax (woodchuck). The record is from RNAcentral. Lineage: Eukaryota; Metazoa; Chordata; Mammalia; Rodentia; Sciuridae.
AAUAGGAAGAUCCCAAGUGUCCAUCGAUGGCAGAAUAGAUACAUAAAUGCAGGUCCAUCCACUCAAGGGAAUGCUGCUCAGCAGCGGAAGAGGAGGGAAGGUGACGUGAGCAACACGGAUGAGCUCAGGGACACGUUGAGCAGCAUGAGGCAGGCACAAAAGGGCACAUACCCACGACCCACUUAGAAUAGAAUAGGUCACACAGAACUACGGGGGUAAAAGGAAUCCCAGUGGUCCCCUGGCCUGGGGGAUGGAAUUGACUGAGGGGCUCAGGAAGCCUCUGAGAGCGCUGGAGGAAUUCCAUGUUGGAUUUUGGUACAUAGAUGGAUACAUCAUAAAAAUCCACUCCGCUGCGCCCUUAAGAUUUGCUCAACUUGAUGGAGAAAUCUGAUACCUCCGUAAGAGGUAAAAAUGAAAACCUGGGGAAGUCAAGAACUAAAAACCACUGGGUAGUGUUUUCUGGGGGCAUUUGCAACUUCAGUCUGACUCCCUAGAUCAGGGAGAGGCUCAGUCCCUGGGGCCAUACUUGUGGCACCGUUCAGUGGAUGGGAGGAAACGCCACUCUUCAGCAGAGACUGGGCUGGACACACAUGUGCACACACACCUCCUGCACCACAGCGUGCAGGCUUCAGUGGGUAUGUCCCUCAGGCCUGAGGCUGCUGAAUUCCCUCAGGCCAACAGACAGGAGUUGCAAGGUGGCAGGUAUCUGCCACAGGGACAUUUUUUUGGUACCAGGGAUUGAACCCAGGGGCUCUUAACCACUGAGCCACAUUUCCACCCCCGCUUUAAAUAUUUUAAAGACAGGGUCUCCUGAGUUGCUUAGGGCCUCACCAAUUUGCUGAGGCUGGUUUUGAACUUGGGAUCCUCCUGCCUCAGUCUCCUGAGCUGCUGGGAUUACAGGCAUGUGCCACUGCCCCUGGCUUGGUGACAGCGACAUUGCUUUUCCCACUCUCUCCAUAUCCCUGGAGUGAACUGCCUGACGUGGGUGUUAUAGGGCCUGUCAUGUCCCCAUUUUGCACUGGUGUCCCCAGGCCUGGGCCUGUCCUAUAGCUGACUUUCCUUUGUUGACUGUUGAAGUCCAGGCUGGGGCUGCCAGAGAGAUUAGGGAUUCAGCAGCCUGACCCUCUGGGGGCCGCUCUUUGGGGUGGGAAUAGGACACAAGCAGGACCCAGCUGCAACCCGCUUCCUCACUUAACCACCAAAUGCAGUGGUUUCUUUCUGAAAACAAAAACAAAAGCCCAGCUGAAAAAGAACAGUGACCUCCUACUCAGUUUUUCCGGUCCGACAGGCGUGCACCAAGCACUUUGAGGUCGGUGGCCUGUUACCAUUUCACAGACAGGAAAACGGAGGAUUCGAGGAACUGAGUAAAACCUCAGGGUCACACAGGAAAUUCAACAGGGGGUGAGUGCACGCUGGCUCCAUCAGACUGGGGCUCUCUGGGAGCAUGGCUGUCUCCCCCUGGGGUGUGGAGGAAUUUCUCUAUAGGAGAGGAUUAG